Molecule: RNA transcript, 3244 nt
Organism: Helianthus annuus (common sunflower)
Lineage: Eukaryota; Viridiplantae; Streptophyta; Magnoliopsida; Asterales; Asteraceae
Exons: 8
Source: RefSeq, a predicted model, not a curated record
CAAUUCCUUCAAUCCCCUCAUGUGAAACCCGACGCGGGAUCCGUUUACAUCCAUUCGGGUCGACUUUAUUACAUACCAUAGAUAAACAAUCUUCAUCUUCUCUAAUACGGCAACAAGGUCGAUUAGGGUUUAUGAUCAGCCGCUCUCCCCUCUGUUCCUUUUCUACCUUUGUUCAAUCUAGAAUUUUGAUAAUUGUCUCUCGCUCUUAUGAUCGUAUCCACCUACAACUUGAAAAUCAAUCCGAUUGUAUGGUAUCAACAUUACUUCGAACCCUAAUUCGCAUCACUGAAAGAUCUUCAAUAACAAGUUAAUUUGUUUGUGAUGAUCAGUUUUCACAUUAUACAUUAGUGAACAAAGCAUUCUUGAAGACAAAGAACUUAGAUGUCUUUUGAACCCACUUGCUCACGUAAAUCUUUAGUAUUACGUGUGCAUUUGAUGAAUCUUGGAAGACUUGGGAGCUCGGGGUGGAAUUAUUUCCGACGUUGGACUUCUUUGAGACACAAAUGUCAUCCACACCAAGUAAGGCGUGGUAAAAGCGAAAAGGAAGAAAGAUCGGUAAGGCUCAUGAUCAGGUUAGUUGCUUAAUCUUUGAUAAUGAAAUUUGUCAAAACGUGUGACUAACUCAAUGUUCUAGAUAACAAAUCACCCGCGACAACGAAGGCUGCAUCCGAAUUUUUCCCCACAACUUCAGCACGUCAUAAAAGAGGUCAUAUCGCAGUGUGGUGACGUCGAAGUGAGCAACUGUAGUAGAGUCGGUGGUCUCAGAUGUUGGCGAGACAGGGGUUUAGGUCUGAAUUGCACUGAUGGUUGCUAAGGUGUGGAUGAUGCCGACGACUAGGGUUGUUGUCGAGUGUAGAUGGUGGUUGAUUGGAAUUUAGGCUUUUGCGCUAACUCUCCAUUGGAGUAGUCGAGAAUCGUCAUCAAUCAACAAACACCAGGUGAAAGCCAUUAAGCGGCUAUGAUGGGAUUUCUUGCUUUUUUUUUAUAAGAAAGGCGAUUCUAACCUUUGAAUGAUUACCUUUGGAUGGUGCGUUCAAUGGUCAUGUACUUGACUAUUGUUUUGCAAGGCUACCAUGGUUGUUGGGCUGGUAAUGUUGUUAGAUUUGUGUUGAUAUGGUUACCUAUGAGUUUUACAACUUCCUUCCUUUCGCCUUUUCAGUUUUUUUAUACAUCUUAUAUACAUCUUAUAUGCUGGUCUUUCUUUGAAGGAUUUUGCACAUGAGCAUUUUUAUGUUUCUUGAGGAAUCGUCCUAUCUAGCCAUGAUGGAUUAUGUUUGAUAUCAAUGUCUAUGAUGAUUUGUAUGAGUUCAAAGAAACAUGAAUUUUUAUGUCUAUUGGUGCGACAACUAAGGUAUUUUUUUGUUUAGAAGGCAAUCUCUUAGUAUGCAGCCAUAGAGCAUAAUCUUUAUUUCUUAAAAUCUUUGCAUUUCUGAGCCUAUGAUGUUACGUUUUUUAAGGUUAUUGACGCUUAUAUUUUUUCCAUCCACGGUAGUUGUUCAUGUUUGUAGGAUAUGGUGAUGGGUUUGAGGUUAAAUGCGAAUGAAUUUACUUUUACCAUGAUUGUGUGUCUGUGGGCUAUGAUAAUUUGUUUUAGUUCAAAGUAAGCUGAGUUCGGUUUUAAGUUCUGGAAUAAUUUAUUUAUCAAUGUAACUUCAUGUGCGUAUGCUUCACAAAAUGAUGAAGGUAUGAUCUACAUAUAUAAUGCUUACUUACACAAGCUGGUAACAUCUUUUCUAUCUCAUCCACUUGCAAGAUACAAGGUUAGUCAUGUUCAUGUUCCUUGAUAAUUUAUUGACAUUUGAUACUACACCAUCUUUUGAGCUUUAGUGAGUAAGAUGAUUUAUGCUCUAUAUGAUGUUUUUUCACAUGGUUGGUAGGUGAAAGGAACAGAGGAGAUGGCCACACCUUCUCAGAAAAUUAGAUGAAAAUCUAUAUAGCCCUGAAAAUUGUUGGUACCUUUGUUCCUUUUAUGUUCAUCUUCUCCGCGCUUUGCGAGGCGUGUUUUCUGCCAGUACUGGAUCGGUUCGUUACUUUAUCGGUACGAUGCCGGCAUUCAGUAUAGCAACUGACCAUCAGUUGAAAACCAUAAAAAUGCAUGUCGAUACUAGUUUUUAACAGCUUUGGUUUGGAGAAACAGAAGGCUCUUCAUCUUGGAAUGCUGCCACAGCCCAUGUCUUGACAGGUAAGUUCUAAAUCCCCCUUGAUGUUGAUUAUUUUCUUGCUUAUCAAUUAGUUAAGGGUUUUUUUUUAAUGUUUGAUUUGUAUUUAUUUAGUUUAAUGCAUUGCCUUUUUAAAACUCUAUAUUCUCAAGAGCCCUUAUGUAAUGUUAAAAGUUUUAUAAAUUUAACUUGAAUUGAUGAGAUGUCGAGAGAAAUAGAGAAUGCGGGGAGAACUGGCCUACAUAAAGCAGAUGACAAAAUUGAAACAUCAUCUUCAAUAAAAUGGAAUUAUAUACUACCAAAAAAACAAACAACAGCUGCUAAGAAGAGGGGCAGAGUACAAAACCACCACUAAAACAAGAGAACUACAUUAAUUAAAAGAUAAGGCGUAUGACCAAUCCAAAUUCUCAGAAUUCGACUAGGAAUAAGUGAAACCCCAAGGCUAAAUACACCCUUUAUUUCGUUGUCUUUGUGGUUUGUAACACAACCAGUCUAUUAAUUAUUGCUAUGGAAAGACUAACCAAUAUAGUAUCUUUUACAUAUGUUGAUUUAUAGUUUUAUAUAUAAGUUUUGGUGCUUAGUGAUGGUUCGGGUCGGAUCAUGGAUAAACUUUGUCAACGACAUUCAACUACGGUCAAUCACAGUCAAGAGUGGUCCAUCUGAAGGUUGUUAUAGUUAAUAUCAUCCUAGGCACUCAUGUAUGGGCAGAAGACCUAGCAGUAUGUUGAGUGGUGGAGGUUGCGACUAAUUUUGUUGGUGAUCAUUCACGUUACAACCUUCUGAAUAGGAAAUCAUUUUUUUUUUGUGUUAUUUUUCUUGAUUCGUAAGCCAUCAUCCUCAUCUAUGCUUCUGUUUUGGGUUGCGACUGGACCUGAUAACCAAUUGGUUGCUUUAUGUGGUUUUAUUCGCUGAUGGUUUGCCCAGAGCCGAAUUUCGAAGGUAUUGUUUGUUCUACUAUUUCGGAUAGGUCUAUUACUAUUCAUUUAUUUGUUAUUUUAACUCCAUACAUAUAUAUUGUAGAAGAAAAUACAGUUAUUUUUUUGUUGCAAAAACCACAAAGAAACAACUUUGAAAUUUUGCUUGAA